AUGGCAUCGGAGGACGUGGUGGGGAAGAGCAGGGGCGACACGGCCGUCAACACCAUCGUCAACCUGGCCGAGGAGGCCAAGCUCGCGCGCGAGGGCGUCAAGGGGCCCGGCCACCAGGUCCUCACCGUCUGCAAGUCCCUCUUCGCCGGCGGCGUCGCCGGGGGCCUAUCGAGGACUGCUGUUGCUCCGCUUGAGCGAUUGAAGAUCCUGCUUCAGGUUCAAAAUCCUCACAGUAUCAAGUACAAUGGUACCGUUCAAGGGCUUAAGUAUAUAUGGAGAACAGAAGGCCUUCGUGGACUGUUUAAGGGCAAUGGAACUAACUGUGCAAGGAUUGUCCCAAAUUCUGCUGUGAAAUUCUUCAGCUAUGAGCAAGCAUCAAGGGGUAUUUUGUAUCUGUACCGGCAACAGACUGGGGAUGAGAAUGCUCAGCUUAGUCCAAUCUUGCGCCUUGGAGCUGGAGCCACAGCUGGUAUCAUAGCCAUGUCUGCUACUUAUCCCAUGGAUAUGGUCAGGGGUAGGAUUACUGUUCAGACAGAGAAAUCUCCCUACCAGUACCGUGGUAUGUUUCAUGCAUUGGGCACAGUGUACCGUGAAGAAGGCUUCCGUGCUUUAUACAGAGGCUGGCUUCCAUCAGUGAUUGGAGUUGUCCCUUAUGUUGGCCUUAACUUUGCUGUGUACGAGUCUCUGAAGGACUGGCUCCUCCAGUCAAAUGCAUUUGAUCUUGCAAAGGACAAUGAGCUGCACGUAGUAACAAGGCUUGGAUGCGGAGCUGUGGCUGGAACCAUCGGCCAGACUGUGGCAUACCCUCUUGAUGUUGUCAGGAGAAGGAUGCAGAUGGUUGGCUGGAGUCACGCUGCUUCUAUUGUUACUGGAGAGGGCAAAGAGGCACUCCAGUACAAUGGUAUGAUUGAUGCAUUCAGGAAAACUGUUCGCCACGAAGGGUUUGGUGCUCUGUACAAGGGUCUUGUGCCCAACUCGGUGAAGGUGGUGCCUUCCAUCGCCAUUGCGUUUGUCACGUACGAGGCCGUGAAGGAUGUUCUAGGAGUAGAGAUGAGGAUAGACUGA
Molecule: ribosomal RNA, 1065 nt
Filed under: Triticum aestivum (bread wheat)
Lineage: Eukaryota; Viridiplantae; Streptophyta; Magnoliopsida; Poales; Poaceae
Description: partial small subunit ribosomal RNA
Source: RNAcentral